ACAUCCAGAGAACUUAGCAGAGAUGCUUGGUGCCUUCGGGAACUCUGAGACAGGUGCUGCAUGGCUGUCGUCAGCUCGUGUUGUGAAAUGUUGGGUUAAGUCCCGCAACGAGCGCAACCCUUAUCCUUUGUUGCCAGCGGUUCGGCCGGGAACUCAAAGGAGACUGCCGGUGAUAAACCGGAGGAAGGUGGGGAUGACGUCAAGUCAUCAUGGCCCUUACGGCCAGGGCUACACACGUGCUACAAUGGCGCAUACAAAGAGAAGCGACCUCGCGAGAGCAAGCGGACCUCAUAAAGUGCGUCGUAGUCCGGAUUGGAGUCUGCAACUCGACUCCAUGAAGUCGGAAUCGCUAGUAAUCGUAGAUCAGAAUGCUACGGUGAAUACGUUCCCGGGCCUUGUACACACCGCCCGUCACACCAUGGGAGUGGGUUGCAAAAGAAGUAGGUAGCUUAACCUUCGGGAGGGCGCUUACCACUUUGUGAUUCAUGACUGGGGUGAAGUCGUAACAAGGUAAGCGUAGCGAG
RNAcentral lists this ribosomal RNA (524 nucleotides) under uncultured bacterium. RNAcentral describes it as "bacterial SSU rRNA". It matches the Rfam family "Bacterial small subunit ribosomal RNA", at positions 984 to 1509 of the family's 1533-position model. The record is from RNAcentral.